RNAcentral lists this ribosomal RNA (1394 nucleotides) under Klebsiella pneumoniae. RNAcentral's name for it is "bacterial SSU rRNA". It matches the Rfam family "Bacterial small subunit ribosomal RNA". The record is from RNAcentral. Lineage: Bacteria; Pseudomonadati; Pseudomonadota; Gammaproteobacteria; Enterobacterales; Enterobacteriaceae.
UGCAAGUCGAGCGGUAGCACAGAGAGCUUGCUCUCGGGUGACGAGCGGCGGACGGGUGAGUAAUGUCUGGGAAACUGCCUGAUGGAGGGGGAUAACUACUGGAAACGGUAGCUAAUACCGCAUAACGUCGCAAGACCAAAGUGGGGGACCUUCGGGCCUCAUGCCAUCAGAUGUGCCCAGAUGGGAUUAGCUAGUAGGUGGGGUAACGGCUCACCUAGGCGACGAUCCCUAGCUGGUCUGAGAGGAUGACCAGCCACACUGGAACUGAGACACGGUCCAGACUCCUACGGGAGGCAGCAGUGGGGAAUAUUGCACAAUGGGCGCAAGCCUGAUGCAGCCAUGCCGCGUGUGUGAAGAAGGCCUUCGGGUUGUAAAGCACUUUCAGCGGGGAGGAAGGCGUUAAGGUUAAUAACCUUGGCGAUUGACGUUACCCGCAGAAGAAGCACCGGCUAACUCCGUGCCAGCAGCCGCGGUAAUACGGAGGGUGCAAGCGUUAAUCGGAAUUACUGGGCGUAAAGCGCACGCAGGCGGUCUGUCAAGUCGGAUGUGAAAUCCCCGGGCUCAACCUGGGAACUGCAUUCGAAACUGGCAGGCUAGAGUCUUGUAGAGGGGGGUAGAAUUCCAGGUGUAGCGGUGAAAUGCGUAGAGAUCUGGAGGAAUACCGGUGGCGAAGGCGGCCCCCUGGACAAAGACUGACGCUCAGGUGCGAAAGCGUGGGGAGCAAACAGGAUUAGAUACCCUGGUAGUCCACGCCGUAAACGAUGUCGAUUUGGAGGUUGUGCCCUUGAGGCGUGGCUUCCGGAGCUAACGCGUUAAAUCGACCGCCUGGGGAGUACGGCCGCAAGGUUAAAACUCAAAUGAAUUGACGGGGGCCCGCACAAGCGGUGGAGCAUGUGGUUUAAUUCGAUGCAACGCGAAGAACCUUACCUGGUCUUGACAUCCACAGAACUUUCCAGAGAUGGAUUGGUGCCUUCGGGAACUGUGAGACAGGUGCUGCAUGGCUGUCGUCAGCUCGUGUUGUGAAAUGUUGGGUUAAGUCCCGCAACGAGCGCAACCCUUAUCCUUUGUUGCCAGCGGUUCGGCCGGGAACUCAAAGGAGACUGCCAGUGAUAAACUGGAGGAAGGUGGGGAUGACGUCAAGUCAUCAUGGCCCUUACGACCAGGGCUACACACGUGCUACAAUGGCAUAUACAAAGAGAAGCGACCUCGCGAGAGCAAGCGGACCUCAUAAAGUAUGUCGUAGUCCGGAUUGGAGUCUGCAACUCGACUCCAUGAAGUCGGAAUCGCUAGUAAUCGUAGAUCAGAAUGCUACGGUGAAUACGUUCCCGGGCCUUGUACACACCGCCCGUCACACCAUGGGAGUGGGUUGCAAAAGAAGUAGGUAGCUUAACCUU